UACGUAGGCAGCAAGCGUUGUUCGGAAUCACUGGGCUUAAAGCGUGUGUAGGCGGAUCGUUAAGUACCUUGUGAAAUCCCACGGCUCAACCGUGGAACUGCUGGGUAUACUGGCGAUCUUGAGCCACCUAGGGGCGAGCGGAACAAGCGGUGGAGCGGUGAAAUGCGUAGAUAUCGCUUGGAACGCCAAUGGUGAAAACAGCUCGCUGGGGGUGUGCUGACGCUGAGACACGAAAGCCAGGGGAGCGAACGGG
RNAcentral lists this ribosomal RNA (253 nucleotides) under uncultured bacterium. Its description in RNAcentral is "partial 16S ribosomal RNA". It matches the Rfam family "Bacterial small subunit ribosomal RNA", at positions 524 to 776 of the family's 1533-position model. The record is from RNAcentral.